CUGUAGCUUGAGAAGUUGAGCGAUAUGCAGUGCCAACUUGAGUCACAGUUGAAGUUCAUUACAGAGGUCUGGCUACAGAUAGUUGAAUGUAGUCGAGUACUAAAAUUGACAUAUGCUGAUGGAUGUUAUUUGCUGGAGCAUGAACAUGCCAAGUUGUUUUAAGUAUUUGCAAGGUGAAGAUGAGCCUGGGUUGGAAUGGGUUCAUCAAUGUGCAGAAAAUGAGCUACAAGUUUACCUCAAUGAUAAGGACAUCAAAAGAUUUCAAUGAGUUUCGCACAAAACUAGCUGGAUUGACCAGGUUAUGUUCCACUAAAGAUAUUACACUACUUUUCUGAUUGGAUAAGUUGAUUCGGGUUACAAUGAUAUAGCUUUUCAGUUUAUUCAUACUAAGAUAUUAGUUUUGCUAAGUGGCAAUGCCAUGAUUGAAAUUUUAUAGAAGUGAUGAAUGGGCCAAUCUGAAAUACUAAAUUUCAGCUGAUGAACUCACUCUUAUUAUGACUAUUAUUGCAUAUACUCAUUUUUUAUUU
Long non-coding RNA from Pyrus x bretschneideri (Chinese white pear), 527 nucleotides. RefSeq lists it as uncharacterized. The transcript has 3 exons. The record is from RefSeq and is a predicted model, not a curated record. Lineage: Eukaryota; Viridiplantae; Streptophyta; Magnoliopsida; Rosales; Rosaceae.